Molecule: ribosomal RNA, 486 nt
Filed under: Triticum aestivum (bread wheat)
Lineage: Eukaryota; Viridiplantae; Streptophyta; Magnoliopsida; Poales; Poaceae
Description: partial small subunit ribosomal RNA
Source: RNAcentral
AUGCGACCUCGCCAGCCUCUCCUCCCCUGCGGCCGUUUCACCGUCGGCCUGCGACCGCCACCGCCGUGCUCCACAGGACCCCGACGCGACCGAGCCUUCCCUCGGCGCGCCCCUUCUCCUCCUCCACCUGGAGCCUACAGAGCCGUGCGCCCCUGCCAUCCCCACGCCCGUCGCCUCCCUCUGAUUCUACCCUGCCUCAGCGCCGCCGUCCUCCAUGGCCGCAGCCAGCCGGGCUCGAAGCUCCCGCCGCUGCACCUCAUGGCCAGGGCCGCUCCCCUUCCUCUGUUGCUCCCAACCGCACCGUCGCCCAAUCCAUCAGCGGACCUUCGCUGCCACCAUGGAGGCCUAAGCCGCCAACCUCGUCGGGCCUCCACCUUCGUCUCGUGCCUGCAGCCAUGCUCUGGAUCGAGAGGAGCUCGAUCCCGAGCGCUUCUGCCCGUCCAUGCCGUCCCUGAGCCCCGGCGCCGCCUUUGCUCCGUUGCAUGA